RNAcentral lists this small nuclear RNA (285 nucleotides) under Cryptosporidium parvum. The record is from RNAcentral. Lineage: Eukaryota; Apicomplexa; Conoidasida; Eucoccidiorida; Cryptosporidiidae.
AUUAUUUCUGGCUCUUUUUAAAUAGGUAAGUUUUCUAUUUAUUUAGAGAGGUAACAGGGAUGAUUAGAACUCUACUAUAGUGCAAAUAAUGUUCGUUUUGAACUCCUUGCGCUACAGUAAAACCUGGAAGUAUAUAUACAAUGCCAGCUGUCAUAGUUACUCUGACCUUACGGCCUCUCUACUAUAGAGUAUAUUAAUUUUCACAGCUUUUAUUGUAAAUUAUUGAGAAAGGUUGAAAUGUUAUCGAGUCUCAAGGUGAAUAAAUAAAGUCAAUACUAUAAUAUA